UUUUGCAUUGAAAGAUAUUUAAGUAUAUGGAUUUUUAGAUAUAAAUUUUACAUCCAAAAUCCACAAUUUUAGAUAUAAAAUAAAUGAAUUAAUUUUUUAUUAUUUAUUUAUGGGAUUUUCAUGGUCAAAAUAGAUCCAUUUAUAUCGUAAUUUGAAUAUGUGCAUAACUUAAAUUAGACAUAUUUUAAUUUGUGAUUCAUCUAUAAAUGUACGUCUCUAUUUCUCUAAUUUUUAAAACACCAUUAUUUCACUAUCGAGGAUGAAAGUUGCUUUCAAUUCUUGGCUUAUUGGUUUUUUUAUGCUCACAAUUUUUCUGUUUGGUGAAAUGGCGAUUGCUCAGAAGAAAAAAAACUGACAACCAAUGUAAUCUUCCAUUACGAAA
This is a long non-coding RNA of Brassica napus (rape), 382 nucleotides long. RefSeq lists it as uncharacterized. The record is from RefSeq and is a predicted model, not a curated record. The transcript is spliced from 2 exons. NCBI's taxonomy places the organism in Eukaryota, Viridiplantae, Streptophyta, Magnoliopsida, Brassicales, Brassicaceae.